Chlorocebus sabaeus (green monkey) is the source of this 2917-nucleotide non-coding RNA. The record is from RefSeq and is a predicted model, not a curated record. NCBI's taxonomy places the organism in Eukaryota, Metazoa, Chordata, Mammalia, Primates, Cercopithecidae.
GCGGAUGUUGCUGCAGUGAGCCGAGAUUCCACCAAAACUGCACUCCAGCCUGGGACCCCGUUUCAAAAAAAAAGAGAAGAGAUUACCUAGAUUACCUACACUAAUAUAGAGGGGAGUAAUAAACACAAGCACUUCAAUUAUCAGAAACAUGGGAAUAUCUUUCAGGUAUAAAUGCACACAAUUGGUUUUCAAAAGGUGAGUAUUAUAUUUUGGAGUAUGUUGAUAUAACAACAUUGUUUUUUAAAAAGUUAAUUCUAGAGGUAGUAGAAAAAAUCUUUAUAGGGAAUUUGGGCUUUGAGAACAUUUUGGAAGGAGGAGAAAAAGGAGGAGGAGCGGGGGGAGAAGAAGAAAAAGGAGGAUGAAUAUAUGGAGGGUAUUUGAAUGAGACAAAGGUGUAAGACAAGUAUUUCUCGAUGUUGAGAGUCACAAGUGGACAAGCAUGUAGUGUUAUUUGGGUUAUUUAUAAAUGAUAAUAUAACAAUAUAUACUAUUUUAUAAUGCUUUAAUAGAGACCAUGGUGAUGUAAGAUUGGAAUGGUUUAUCCGAGAAGGUGGGCAGUAAGUUGAAUGUGGUACACGGAGGAUUGAAGAUGGCUAUACUGGCUGAUAGUUGAGAUGGAAAUUUCUGAAAUAGAAACUAGUAAGAUUGACCAUUCUUGUUUAAUAAGGGGCAAUCAGACGCUCUAGGAGUGGAAAUUCUUGCAGGCUAGAGGGAUAUGAGUUACGCAGUACCAGUGGCAGGCAAAAAAGACUAUCCCAGUAUUGUGAAGAGAUACCAUGGACUUCAAAGUCAGCAAAGUCGAAUAUUGCUGAAAUCAGGGUUUCAGUUGUGUCAGGGCCUGCUAGUGACUGCAUUUACCUCUCUAGUCCCCAAAAGAGUGCUGGCACAUAGUAUGUCCUGAACAAAUACUUGUAGAAUACAUAGACUAGGCAUUUGUGGCUGCAUCAGGAAGAAUCAGAGAAAUCUGAUACUAUUAUGGAGGAGGAAGAGUAAAAUUUUCCAAUAAGAACAAAUACAAAGUCAAAGGAGAGUCUUCAUUUGAAGGUUGUCAAGAUGACAGAUUUAACUGUAUUUCCCCAGGAGCUGAUGGUGUUGGAGGGCAAUGGGAUUGGAGCCUGAAUAGAAAACAUCUGGGGAUGUGAGGCGUGCCCUCAAGCAGUCAUGUUUCCUUUUAGUGUUGGUUCUGGAACUCAUUUAGAUACUUUGACAUUUUUGUGCUUCCGUAGUGUUAGAGUCAAAGACCUUGAGGUUCUCUGAAGAUUCAUUUCCUAUGAUGCGGCAAUCUCUAGCACAGUGUUCACAUUCCAAGAAGUGCUUAAUAUUUAACAUGCUCUGACUUCCUUAAUCACCUUUCAAUAUCAGAAUCCUGUGCUUUAUCAGAUAAGCCUUUUUAGCCUAUGGCAGGUGAUAUUGUUUCAUCCAAUCACAAGGCGUUCAACUCGGAUGAUGUUGUCUUCAGUGCUGAAUCAGGAUCUUUCACCAAAUUCACAUGUCCUGUCCCUUGCCCACUAAGGAAGUUACAGAAAAGUUGCAAGAAAGUUUUGAACUGAUCGAUGACCUAGCUACAUAAAGGCAACGAUGCUGCAUUAGCAACAAACCAUGCCCUCCAGUGUCUUACUGGGAUUGGUCUAUCAGAGAUUGGGUCUUGUGAUGUUUCCCAGGCUGGUCUUGAACUCCUGGCCUCAAGCAAUACCCCCACCUUGGUCUCUCAAAGCACUGGGAUUACAGGUAUGAGAGUCACUCAAACCCAGCUAAGUCUUACACUUUUUAUAAAUUCAUUUCAGCAUUACUUUUUUGACUAAAUAUAUAUCUGGUUUCUAAUAUUUCAGUGACAUGAGUUCUUUAUAUAUUCUGGAUAAAAGUUCUUUGCCAUAUAUAUGAUUUUCAGGAUAUCCUAGUCUGUGGCUUGUCAUUUCACUUCCUUAAUGACAUCAUUUUAAGUGCAAAUAAUUUUAAUUUUGAUGAAGUCUAUUUUACUAUUUUUGGGCAUCACAUCUAAGAACUCUUUGUCUAACUGAAAGUCAUAAAGACUUUAUUCUAUUAUUUAAAAGUUUUCUAAUUUUAGCCUUUAUAUGUAGGUCUAUGAUCCAUUUAUAGUAAAUUAUUAUGUAUGGUGUGAGGUAGUGAUCUAAAUUUAAAUCCAUGUUGCAUAUGGAUAUCUAAUUGUCCCAGAACUAUUUGUUGAAAAGACUAUCCAUUUCCCACUGAAUUGGCUUGACACCUUUGUCAAAAAUCAAUUGGCCAUAAAUAUAAGGAUCUAUUUCUGGACUCUCACUUCUGUUCCACUGAUCCAUUAGUAUAUACUGAUAGGCUAAUAUCAGAUAACUUUAGAUAUAUUGGUAUGUUAGUCUUUAGCCAAGAGAGGCAUUACCAAUUAGUAACUGAUUCUAAGAUUUGUGACACUGUCCAUCUGGAAUAUGCACUGAAGAGUUUUUGUAUUUUUGUUUUUCUUUUUAACAGCAAAAAGAAAUCUCUGUAAGCUUUCCUUCCUCAUAUCUUCACUCUCUCUGACAUUUUCUUAAUUUCACAUUCAAUAUAUGUAUACAUACAUUUUAAAAGAAAAGAGAUAUAGACAUUUACCAUUGGAAAACAUUUUGAUUCGGGUUCUGUAAAAUGACAAAGGAUUGAUUCAGCAGUUAAGGGUGCCCUAACCAGUUUAAACAUCUGAUAUUCUGGGAGGUCUUAGGUGAUUGAAGAUUGAGAUUAAAAUCUCUGGUUUAGUUAGGUUUUCUUUUUAAAUUGUUCAUACUUUUUUUCAUUGUACUUAUAUUUUCCCUCAAGUUUUCCCUCAAGUUUUGAAUGCUUGCCUUCCCUUCUCUUAAGGCAAAUUCCUGGAAUUUGAAAUGCUGAAUUCAAGAAGGAUAAACAUUUCAUUAUGUCAAAGUGAUAAAAAUAAGCAUUUAUUUUUCUAACUCAA